Molecule: ribosomal RNA, 253 nt
Filed under: uncultured bacterium
Lineage: Bacteria
Description: partial 16S ribosomal RNA
Rfam family: Bacterial small subunit ribosomal RNA
Source: RNAcentral
UACAGAGGUCCCAAGCGUUGUUCGGAUUCACUGGGCGUAAAGGGUGCGUAGGCGGUCGGGUAAGUCUGAUGUGAAAUCUCACAGCUUAACUGUGAAACUGCAUUGGAUACUAUUCGGCUUGAGAGUUGGAGGGGGGACUGGAAUUCCUGGUGUAGCGGUGAAAUGCGCAGAUAUCAGGAGGAACACCGGUGGCGAAGGCGGGUCUCUGGGCCGUAACUGACGCUGAGGAGCGAAAGCAUGGGGAGCGAACAGG